RNAcentral lists this ribosomal RNA (254 nucleotides) under uncultured bacterium. RNAcentral describes it as "partial 16S ribosomal RNA". It matches the Rfam family "Bacterial small subunit ribosomal RNA", at positions 524 to 776 of the family's 1533-position model. The record is from RNAcentral.
UACGGAAGGAGCAAGCGUUAUCCGGAAUCACUGGGUUUAAAGGGUGCGUAGGCGGUGGUGUAAGUCAGUUGGGAAAUGCCCCGGCUUAACCGGCGGAACUGCGAUUGAUACUGCAUCACUUGAAUCAGGAUGAGGUAGGCGGAAUGUGGCAUGUAGCGGUGAAAUGCUUAGAUAUGCCAUAGAACACCGAUUGCGAAGGCAGCUUGCUGGGCCUGAAUUGACGCUGAGGCACGAAAGCGUGGGGAGCAAACAGG